Molecule: non-coding RNA, 45 nt
Organism: Schistosoma mansoni
Lineage: Eukaryota; Metazoa; Platyhelminthes; Trematoda; Strigeidida; Schistosomatidae
Source: Rfam
AUCCAGCUGACGAGUCCCAAAUAGGACGAAACGAGCGUCCUCGAU